GGAUGUGAGGACUAUUUACCUGUGACAUCCCGACACCCCAUUGAUUACCAGUCUUGAUCUAGCUGCUGAGGUGGCUGGUUAGGCAGGUGGCUCUUUCCUUUCCACUUUAUAUUUGUCCCUCCCAAUGCCACACUGUCCAAGAGGUGUUGAUGUUCCCUGGUAGAAGACGCUGUUCUUCAGCCAGACUGUGCGGAUAGCUGUACUCUUCUGCUAGAACAUCCAAGCAAGCCCCAGGGGUCCAUUUGUGGAGGAAAUUAGGGGAACCAAGCUUCCAGGGAUUAAAAG
RNAcentral lists this small nuclear RNA (285 nucleotides) under Mus caroli (Ryukyu mouse). RNAcentral describes it as "sRNA (MGP_CAROLIEiJ_G0008542.1)". It matches the Rfam family "7SK RNA", at positions 1 to 289 of the family's 331-position model. From Rfam's summary of the family: 7SK was discovered as an abundant small nuclear RNA in the mid-70s but a possible function has only recently been suggested. Two independent studies have found that 7SK RNA binds the CDK9/cyclin T complex (known as elongation factor P-TEFb). Lineage: Eukaryota; Metazoa; Chordata; Mammalia; Rodentia; Muridae. The record is from RNAcentral.